RNAcentral lists this transfer RNA (60 nucleotides) under Bragasellus peltatus. RNAcentral describes it as "transfert RNA-T(ACA)". The record is from RNAcentral. Lineage: Eukaryota; Metazoa; Arthropoda; Malacostraca; Isopoda; Asellidae.
GUCUCUAUAGUUUAAAUUAAAAUUCUAUCUUUGUAAGUUAGAGAUGGCUUCCUAGAGAUA